GAUGAACGCUGGCGGCGUGCCUAAUACAUGCAAGUCGAGCGAACAGAUUAGGAGCUUGCUCCUCUGACGUUAGCGGCGGACGGGUGAGUAACACGUGGAUAACCUACCUAUAAGACUGGGAUAACUUCGGGAAACCGGAGCUAAUACCGGAUAAUAUAUUUAACCGCAUGGUUCAAUAGUGAAAGACGGUUUUGCUGUCACUUAUAGAUGGAUCCGCGCCGCAUUAGCUAGUUGGUAAGGUAACGGCUUACCAAGGCAACGAUGCGUAGCCGACCUGAGAGGGUGAUCGGCCACACUGGAACUGAGACACCGUCCAGACUCCUACGGGAGGCAGCAGUAGGGAAUCUUCCGCAAUGGUCGAAAGCAUGACGCAGCAACGCCGCGUGAGUGAUGAAGGUCUUCGGAUCGUAAAACUCUGUUAUUAGGUAAGAACAAAUGUGUAAGUAACUAUACACAUCUUGACGGUACCUAAUCAAAAAGCCACGGCUAACUACGUG
RNAcentral lists this ribosomal RNA (497 nucleotides) under uncultured bacterium. RNAcentral describes it as "partial 16S ribosomal RNA". It matches the Rfam family "Bacterial small subunit ribosomal RNA", at positions 28 to 507 of the family's 1533-position model. The record is from RNAcentral.